This 133-nucleotide small nucleolar RNA is filed under the name Meriones unguiculatus (Mongolian gerbil). RNAcentral describes it as "Small nucleolar RNA SNORA17 (ENSMUGG00000012157.1)". It matches the Rfam family "Small nucleolar RNA SNORA17". From Rfam's summary of the family: snoRNA ACA 17 belongs to the H/ACA family of snoRNAs and is predicted to guide pseudouridylation of the 28S rRNA at positions U4659 and U4598. The record is from RNAcentral. Lineage: Eukaryota; Metazoa; Chordata; Mammalia; Rodentia; Muridae.
CCUACUCCUAGAGGCAUUACAGGUGUGACUGCUGUGUCACAUGUGUGUCAGUAGGUCACAGAGAGGAGAGGGGCUGUGUCUGUACUCACUGUUCUGACCUGUGAAUAUCUGAAGAACCAGUAGCCUAAACUUU